UAGCAGACACGUCACUUUGCCAUAAGCUGUUGAUGACAAUAUAGAGUGAAACCCCUGUUAUAUUAGGACAGACUAAAUGAGCACUUUACACUGUCAGCUAAGGCUGUGUGUGUAGGUUUCUGUUAUGUCCAUGUAAUAUGGUUUAGAUAAAACCAACAAGAGAAAUGUAUAAUAUUCUUGGUUAAAGCGGCCCUCAUUCACUGCUACACAGGCUUCGAACAAAACCACUCUGCAAAGAUAAAGCUGGUUGUUUUUUCCCCCUUCCUGAGCAUCUGGUAAAUAAGUUAAAGGUGUGCAUCUUUCUUUUUGUUUACACACAAACACACAACAGAACGGCCACAGCACUGAUGAGCAUUCCAUUGAGAGAGGGAGAGAAGGACACUCUCUCUAACUGGCGUGACAGGCCCAUUCGUUUAGCUGGGUGCAAUCCACACCAAAAGUAUCUGCAGCUCCAGCAACCAAAAUCAUGAGGGUUAUAAAAUCAGAUUUCCAGAUUUCUGGCAGUGCUGUAUUUGGAAAGUAUGUGGCGUGCCGUGCACCUUUGAUGCAGCGAAGUGCUCUGUCCGUCGCUAUGGGAGAUCUCUGCCCUGGCCUCGUGCCAGGCAGGGCGGGACGCUAAAAUGCAGAGAUGCGGGGAGGAAUGGUGGUCACUUGUGAGUCUUUCUUUCUUUUCGUUUCUUUCCUUCUUCAUGUGCCGCACUCUAAUUUUAGAGGUGGUGCACUGCACAUGGUGUUUUUUCUGUUUUCCGAGAAGCGUCAGUGAGAUGACGUCCAACAUAGCUGAAACUGUGGCAUCUGUGCUGCAGCUCUGAGCACAUCAAACAGGCCAGCAUUCGUCCACACAGUCAAGAGAAGACAAAAUAUGGAAAUGGCUUUUCCAGAAUCACCGGGAGAGAGGAUAGUCCCAACUGGUCCCAACUGGAUCUGGCAUCAACAGAGUGAGAAAACAGAAAGUUUAGAAAAGAAAAAAAACUGACAUCAUGUGCCAUUAACUAUUCAUAAUAUUAUAUACAUUUAUAAAUAUUGAGUAUUUAUUUAUUCAACAUGUAUUUAGGAAGAUAAGUCAUUGAGGGCUAAUUCUCUUUUACAAUAAUGACCGUAUUAUAAAGCAUGACGAAAUACACGAGUGUAGAAAAACACAUAAAAUCACAUAUGAUCAUGAAGCUAUAUAUUCAGUAACUUAUAAAUUAUUAAAAUGUUUUAAUAAAGCUGUUGAAAACUGUG
Long non-coding RNA from Coregonus clupeaformis (lake whitefish), 1224 nucleotides. RefSeq lists it as uncharacterized. The transcript is spliced from 2 exons. The record is from RefSeq and is a predicted model, not a curated record. NCBI's taxonomy places the organism in Eukaryota, Metazoa, Chordata, Actinopteri, Salmoniformes, Salmonidae.